This 861-nucleotide ribosomal RNA is filed under the name Crassoascoma potentillae. RNAcentral's name for it is "Lentitheciaceae sp. LZ-2021a partial large subunit ribosomal RNA". It matches the Rfam family "Eukaryotic large subunit ribosomal RNA", at positions 90 to 962 of the family's 3401-position model. Lineage: Eukaryota; Fungi; Ascomycota; Dothideomycetes; Pleosporales; Lentitheciaceae. The record is from RNAcentral.
CGAGUGAAGCGGCAAAAGCUCAAAUUUGAAAUCUGGCCUCCUUUGGUGGUCCGAGUUGUAAUUUGCAGAGGGCGCUUUGGCGUCGGCAGCGGUCUAAGUUCCUUGGAACAGGACAUCGCAGAGGGUGAGAAUCCCGUACGUGGUCGCCUGCCUUCGCCGUGUAAAGCCCCUUCGACGAGUCGAGUUGUUUGGGAAUGCAGCUCUAAAUGGGAGGUAAAUUUCUUCUAAAGCUAAAUACCGGCCAGAGACCGAUAGCGCACAAGUAGAGUGAUCGAAAGAUGAAAAGCACUUUGGAAAGAGAGUCAAACAGCACGUGAAAUUGUUGAAAGGGAAGCGCUUGCAGCCAGACUUGCCCGUAGUUGCUCACCCGGACUUUUGCCCGGGGCAUUCUUCUGCGGGCAGGCCAGCAUCAGUUUGGGCGACCGGAUAAAGGCCUCUGUCACGUAUCUUCCUUCGGGAUGACCUUAUAGGGGAGGCGUAAUGCGGUCAGCCCGGACUGAGGUCCGCGCAUCUGCUAGGAUGCUGGCGUAAUGGCUGUAAGCGGCCCGUCUUGAAACACGGACCAAGGAGUCUAACAUCUAUGCGAGUGUUUGGGUGUCAAGCCCGGGCGCGUAAUGAAAGUGAACGGAGGUGGGAACCCUCCUUGAGGGGGUGCACCAUCGACCGAUCCUGAUGUCUUCGGAUGGAUUUGAGUAAGAGCAUAGCUGUUGGGACCCGAAAGAUGGUGAACUAUGCUUGAAUAGGGUGAAGCCAGAGGAAACUCUGGUGGAGGCUCGCAGCGGUUCUGACGUGCAAAUCGAUCGUCAAAUUUGGGCAUAGGGGCGAAAGACUAAUCGAACUAUCUAGUAGCUGGUUCCUGCG